GACGAGGGGUCCAAGCGUUGUUCGGAAUCAUUGGGCGUAAAGCGGGUGUAGGCGGCUCUAUAAGUCAGGAGUGAAAUCCCCGAGCUUAACUUGGGAAGUGCUUUUGAUACUGCAGAGCUUGAAUGUGGGAGAGGUUAGUGGAAUUCCAAGUGUAGUGGUGAAAUACGUAGAUAUUUGGAGGAACACCGGUGGCGAAGGCGGCUAACUGGCCCAACAUUGACGCUGAGACCCGAAAGCAUGGGGAUCAAACAGG
This 253-nucleotide ribosomal RNA is filed under the name uncultured bacterium. RNAcentral describes it as "partial 16S ribosomal RNA". It matches the Rfam family "Bacterial small subunit ribosomal RNA", at positions 524 to 776 of the family's 1533-position model. The record is from RNAcentral.